CGGCGAGUCAAGCGGCAAAAGCUCAAAUUUGAAAUCUGGCUCUUUCAGAGUCCGAGUUGUAAUUUGAAGAAGGUAUCUUUGGGUCUGGCUCUUGUCUAUGUUUCUUGGAACAGAACGUCACAGAGGGUGAGAAUCCCGUGCGAUGAGAUGAUCCAGGCCUAUGUAAAGUUCCUUCGAAGAGUCGAGUUGUUUGGGAAUGCAGCUCUAAGUGGGUGGUAAAUUCCAUCUAAAGCUAAAUAUUGGCGAGAGACCGAUAGCGAACAAGUACAGUGAUGGAAAGAUGAAAAGAACUUUGAAAAGAGAGUGAAAAAGUACGUGAAAUUGUUGAAAGGGAAGGGCUUGAGAUCAGACUUGGUAUUUUGUAUGUUACUUCUUCGGGGGUGGCCUCUACAGUUUAUCGGGCCAGCAUCAGUUUGGGCGGUAGGAGAAUUGCGUUGGAAUGUGGCACGGCUUCGGUUGUGUGUUAUAGCCUUCGUCGAUACUGCCAGCCUAGACUGAGGACUGCGGUUUAUACCUAGGAUGUUGGCAUAAUGAUCUUAAGUCGCCCGUCUUGACCC
This 557-nucleotide ribosomal RNA is filed under the name Candida tropicalis. RNAcentral's name for it is "eukaryotic LSU rRNA". It matches the Rfam family "Eukaryotic large subunit ribosomal RNA", at positions 87 to 660 of the family's 3401-position model. The record is from RNAcentral. Lineage: Eukaryota; Fungi; Ascomycota; Pichiomycetes; Serinales; Debaryomycetaceae.